GGCAGUGUGGUAUAGUGGUUAGCACACCAGACUAAGAUUUGGGAGACACAGGUUUAAAUCCCAGCUCUGCCA
This 72-nucleotide transfer RNA is filed under the name Sphaerodactylus townsendi. Its description in RNAcentral is "tRNA-Leu". It matches the Rfam family "tRNA". From Rfam's summary of the family: Transfer RNA (tRNA) molecules are approximately 80 nucleotides in length. Their secondary structure includes four short double-helical elements and three loops (D, anti-codon, and T loops). The record is from RNAcentral. Lineage: Eukaryota; Metazoa; Chordata; Lepidosauria; Squamata; Sphaerodactylidae.